UCAGAAUAUUCUACACGGAAGAGAAAGAUUAAUCUGUUCAAAUAUUGAGAUUCAUAUAAGUGAUACAUGGUCACCGAUCAACAUCAUAAUCACCUAUUAAAAAGAAAGACAAUGAUAAUAAGACAGGGUUUGAAAAACUUUUAAUCACGGGCAUUUUGACAAUAAAAAAAAGGGAAUUACAGUAAACUAUAAGUAGAAGGUUUCGCUUUCGGAAGGGAAAAAAUAGUAGACCUAAUAAUUGAUUGUUUAAUGGCUGUAGUGGUGCUACAUGUGUGAUAGGUCUUGUUGUCUCGAUUCGGGUUUUAUUGUGUUUCAACAACAACUACCG
RNAcentral lists this long non-coding RNA (328 nucleotides) under Glycine max (soybean). RNAcentral describes it as "long non-coding RNA (GMAX_LNC001993)". Lineage: Eukaryota; Viridiplantae; Streptophyta; Magnoliopsida; Fabales; Fabaceae. The record is from RNAcentral.